Molecule: ribosomal RNA, 482 nt
Filed under: uncultured bacterium
Lineage: Bacteria
Description: bacterial SSU rRNA
Rfam family: Bacterial small subunit ribosomal RNA
Source: RNAcentral
AUUGAACGCUGGCGGAAUGCUUUACACAUGCAAGUCGAACGGCAGCAUAGAGAGCUUGCUCUCUGAUGGCGAGUGGCGAACGGGUGAGUAAUAUAUCGGAACGUGCCUAGUAAUGGGGAAUAACUAGCUGAAAGGUUAGCUAAUGCCGCAUACGACCUACGGGUGAAAGCAGGGGAUCUUCGGACCUUGCGUUAUUAGAGCGGCCGAUAUCUGAUUAGCUUGUUGGUGGGGUAAUGGCCUACCAAGGCGACGAUCCCUAGCUGGUUUGAGAGGAUGAUCAGCCACACUGGAACUGAGACACGGUCCAGACUCCUACGGGAGGCAGCAGUGGGGAAUAUUGGACAAUGGGCGCAAGCCUGAUCCAGCCAUGCCGCGUGUGUGAAGAAGGCCUUCGGGUUGUAAAGCACUUUCAGCGAGGAGGAAGGGUGUUGUGUUAAUAGCACAGCAUUUUGACGUUACUCGCAGAAGAAGCACCGCUAACU